AGUCACUGACAUUAGAUACCCCCGUAGUCCCAGCCGUAAACAAUGUGCGUUAGGUGUGUCGGUAACCACGCGUUACUGAUGCGCCGAAGAGAAAUCGUGAAACGCACCACCUGGGAAGUACGGUCGCAAGGCUGAAACUUAAAGGAAUUGGCGGGGGAGCACCACAACAGGUGGAGCCUGCGGUUUAAUUGGAUUCAACGCCGGACAUCUCACCGGAUAAGACAGCUGAAUGAUUGUCAAUCUGAAGGUUUUACAUGACUAGCUG
RNAcentral lists this ribosomal RNA (265 nucleotides) under uncultured archaeon. RNAcentral's name for it is "partial 16S ribosomal RNA". It matches the Rfam family "Archaeal small subunit ribosomal RNA", at positions 718 to 982 of the family's 1478-position model. The record is from RNAcentral.